AUCAAGCCAUUGAAAUUGGUCAGCCCUAUUGAAAAAAUAGUGUAAUAUGGUCACAGUCUCCUAACAGUCUGUGUACAGCAAUGUCAGCCUAGCUUCGUGAGUCAAACCAGGGAGAUGGGGGGAAAUUUUGGCUGCCACAGCCUUGAGUGCGGUGAAAAAAAAAAGAAAAAGAAAAAGAAAACCAGCACUCUGAGUAAUCUAGUAAUUGGGUUCUGCCCUCUCAUGAGCUGACAGGAGACCACAAUCACGUGAAACAACCACCAAAGAUGGUAACAGCUCAGCAAGAGUGACUUGGGCUUAACAGGUGCAGAGUCCUGGCUUGGAAAGGGGGCUUGGCUUACCGGGCUCUGCUGCGCUCUUCAACCUGGCUGCAGGGGCAUGAAAGGGGCUGAAAUCUGGCCCAACCCCUGCCAAGCAGUGAAGCCUAGUGUGGAUAUUACCCUUCCAGAAGGAUCCUCCCAGAAAGAGCAGAUUUUUGCCACUCAUCUACCCAGGAGAGGUGCUACUUUCGAAUUCACACAGAGGCUGUGUGUGCCACAUAGGUUCCUGACAUUCCUUUGAGUGAGGAGCCUUGACCUGACAGGAAGACAGCUAGAGAGCACUUAACUGUUGCUUCCCCAGAGUCAAUUCCUUGUGGAAACUUUCUGUCCCUGCACCUGUGAAAUUUGCUUAAUGGAUUUUGGAGACCUACGGUUAAAGAGUAUGAAAGAAUGUGGGCUUUGGAGUGAGGAAGACUGCCUAGAUCUACUCUUAUUGGCCCAAUUAACCUCUAAUUCAGCUCCCUCAUGAAGGAAGAAAAAAUAGCAUCUGCCUCAUAGGAUUGCUGUAGGUACGAGGAAAACACUUGUCACCAUGCCUGGCAUGUGAUAAGUGCCCAGUCAAUGUUAGCUCUCAUUAUUAAUAAAACAAGAGAUUUGGUUUA
This is a long non-coding RNA of Symphalangus syndactylus (siamang), 922 nucleotides long. RefSeq lists it as uncharacterized. Lineage: Eukaryota; Metazoa; Chordata; Mammalia; Primates; Hylobatidae. The record is from RefSeq and is a predicted model, not a curated record.